UUAUGUAUGUUAAUAGUAAUUCUGGUAAUGGAGCAUUAUUAUUAUAGUACAUUUGUGAUUGAUGUUAUGCCAUUGUUUUGUAUGUUUAUAGAACCACACACACAUACCAUCUCUGAGGACAAAGGAAGCAGGUUGUAUUCAGCUUUAUUGAAGAAACAGAAUUUUUCAUGCAUUCUUACCGGGUGCCCCAUGGAGACUACAUUUUUACCCCAGCCAUUUAAUUCAGCACAAAAGAAUAAUUUCCACAUCGUGUCCACCUCAACAAUCAUUGUGUGCAGUGGCUAAAAAGAUAUGUCGGGAAGUAAUAUGCUCUGGCCCGCUUCCAGCUAGUAAGAGCAAUGAGGUCCUGUCAAUUAGCUGAGACCCCACUUUACAUGGGCUGGCUCUUGAUAGGUGGGUAUUGUUGUCCCCCCCCCCAUGACUGCAUGGGCUCUCGAUCCCUGUCCUAGUAGCUAUGCAGCCACAGCCUAUUCCUGGCGGGGCCCCAAUUGUAAUUCCCCAGUUCAUACCGUUGUCACUUUACCCACUGAUUGUUUUGUUUUAAUUCCCUAAUCGCCCCCAUCUCUAGGUUAACCCAGACUGGUACGUAUCGCUCGUAUCUGAUCUGGGGGAGACUGGAGCAGGCCCCAAGAUGUAGACCCUUCUCAGGCUUGACUCGGGUGGUCGGGCUACCUAGCGGUGUUAACAAAAACCACUUGGGUCUAGCAUGGUGAGUAUCCAGCCCCCCUGGGUCCACUUGGACAGCACGCAGGGUGUGGUGGUCUGGGGCCACAGACCUUAAAUGGUGCCCAAUUUUCUACUGGUGACUAGCACCACCCACACACCAGACCAUCAUGCACUACACAUGUGAAUUGGACUAACCAAGAACAGUUUGGGCUCUCAGAUUUCUUCACCCCCCUAAAUUGUUGCAUUUUGGGAAAAGACCAGCGGGUCACGUAGAAGAAAGAUGAACAGUUUAAAGAAUUAUACUUACCUUAAGGAUGAAACACCUGAACAUCUGAUCAUUUCCUCAUUACGUUUAAUAUUAAGACAUACAAUCCCCCUGUAUCAGAGCCUAGACAUUACUACAGCCGAUCAUAAAACCCUGAGGUCAUUCCUAAGUUUAUAAAUACGGUUCCUGAGUAAUUUAUUUCUCUACAGUGAGGAAAAGGCUGAAGUAGCACUGCACCAAUUGACUAACCAGUUAACUCUUACUCUCAGAAACACUUGAUGUAGUUGCCCCUCUUAAAAGUAGUAGUCUAAGUAGUAGUAGAAAUCACACUCCUUGGUACAAUGACACCACCCGGGCCCUGAAGCAGUCUACAAAAAAAUUGUAGCAAAAAUGGCGGUCAAACUAGGAGUAUUUCGUCUUGCAUGGAAAAAUAGCCUUCUUCAGGACAAGCCAUCUCUUGCAUCUGCUACGUCUGCCUGUUUUCUCAAAACGAAUUGAACAAAACAAACGUAACCCAAAAUUUUUAUUUAGUACUGUGGAAAAAUGUAUAGCAGCAAUGAUUUUAUGAACUUUUCGAUCAGAAAAUUUAGCCUAUUAGAGACCAGAUCUCCAAACUGUCUCCUCAAUCAUACAUUACUCCUGCUAGUAUGAAUAAGCAGGCCAGUGCUUGGUUACAACAGGAAGAUGUACAGACAGCAGCGCUAAACUGUUUUACGCCCAUUGGCAUGGAUGCCAACUACCUGUCUGCUCGAUCCGAUUCCUUCAAACUGGGUUCAAGAACUCUUUCCUGUACUAGGCCAGCACUUGCUAAAAGUCAUUAACACAUCCCUACUAACAGGAUAUGUACUUGAGUCACUAAAAGUGUCAAUUAAGCCAUUAUUGAAGAAACCAAAUCCUUCCAUUUUUGAAAUUAUGGGAGAACUGUUGCUAAGCAACUUAGUGCAUACUUUAGCUCUAACGAUAUCCUUGAAAUAUUCCAAUCAGGGUUUAGACCCCGCCACAGCACAGAAACCGUACUUAACAAGGUUACUAAUGAUCACUGGCUACCUGGCUAAGAAUAGGAUAGAUUUCAAGGUUUUGCUCCUGACCUUUAAAGCUCUGGCUGAUGGAUGUGCACCAGUGUACAUAACCAACCUGCUCCUACCUUAUAAGCCCACAAGGUCACUAUUCUUAAGAUGCAGGCUACUUGGUAGUCCCAAGAAUUUCUAAAAACCUAAAAGGUGGUAGCUUUCUCCAUUUUUGUACUUUGAAAAUGUGUUUUGUUUCACAUGCUAUAUGUAACUAUACUAUAUAGCUAUAUGACACUGUAAUGAGUUAGGAUUAGAAGGAACUACUUCACCUAAAAGGUCCACAUAAUUGUAAUGUAGGUAGGAAGGCUAGUUUCAGGCAGCCAUAUACAUUUAGUUUCUCAUCACAUGUUUAAGUGUUUUAUGAGAAAAUGGAAAAAAAAAUGGUGAGAUCCCUGAGCUGAAUCUUGCAGCAUAGUGAGGUUGUACUCAGGAUAGAUAGUGGGAGUGAGAGAUGUGAUUAUAGAACAGUAGUGCUGUUUCUGAAAGGUCAAUUUACAAAAUGAAGAAAAAUGUUUACUCAAGUUAUUCAACACGAAAGUACAACUCGGGCAUUUACUCAAUGCAGUGCCUUCAUUUUUUUAGCACAGGCAAUGUUUGCAUGUUUAUAUGUGCACUCCCUCUUUCAGGCCCAAGGUCAGAGGCUCAGGUGUGUGGUUCACAGCCUGUACAAGAUAAAAAGAUAAAAGAUAAAGCCACGGGGACAAGGCCAGUCUCGUCUGAGCUUCGGGGAAGAGGACCAAUUCAUCCACAGCACUUUUGUUGAUAGAAUACUAUAGAAGUUUAGUUGAAUUUCUACACAAUUUUGUUUGUUAUAUUUAAGUAGGUUUCUCUUGUUUUUUUAAAGCUUUCUCCUUGCGCUAAACAAUGAAUUUUACAGGAAGGUACAGGAAUGACUUCUACAAAAUAUCGAUAUAACUAGCUCAACUUAUUUCUGGGUUCUAUUCAAAAAUAAAAUCAGAAUUUAAGAGGAAUGAGAGAUUAUAUCAUCAUGAUUCAGCUGACGAUUUUAAUUUACCACUAAUUGCAGAAGACACCCUGUGGCACCUGGAUGAGCCCUACAGUCUCGGAUCCGAUCCGGACUGUGCUAGUGCCAACUGUGGCUGGGGUCUCCAUAGAGCUGCAUUGCGGUCAGGGUUAGGGAGGGUUCAGUCUAUUAGGGAUCCUAACAACCCCCGCUGGUGGAUUGGGUGCCCAUUGACUGCAUGUUAAAGCUGUAUAUGAAAGGUAUUCCUCCAACUGCAGGCAAGUUUAGCUGUAGUUUGUGGUCUCAAAAGUAGCAGACUGGCAAUACAAGACCUACAGACUGUUUUCCAUUCCAAAUUAGGGUGGGAACUGGACAUGCUCAGCCCUGCUGUGCGUGUGUUUGUUUGUACGUGUGUAUUUGUGCUUGUUUUUGCGUGCGUGUGUGUGUUUGUUCAUGUGCAUGCAUGUGUGUGUAUGUAUAUGUGUGCGCAUGUAUGUACAUGUGUGUUUGUGGUCAAUAUUAUACAAUUUAAUAUGUAUGUUAAGUAUUAUGACUGCUGGUGUUUUUCUCAAUUGCUAUUGCUGUGUAAAGUGGAUGCAUGUCUGAUAUUGCAUUAAUUUUGCUUGCUUGUUUCUAACAUUCCAGGUUAACCUGAAUGAAUACAUAAAUAAAUCUUCACUAUUUAACAAUAAUGGAUGACUGCUCACACCAUGGACAUGUUGAAAGCUGCUAACACCUUUCUUCCAUCAUGAACACUUGAUCAACACACAUUAUUAUUUAACGAGCAAAAGUGUUUUUACUGUGAUUUCAUAUUACAUUUCUGUGUUAAGUUAUUGUUAGCAUAUUUCAUUUGAGGACAGACCAUUAUCCAGUGUGAUUUGGUUUAAUUUUGAGUGUAUUAAAUCUUAUGCUUACAGUUCAAACAAUUACAUUUUCUUCCCUGAAACACUGAGAUUGAAUCUGAACUGAUGUCUAUGGAACUGGAACUUUAAAUAAUGUUUGUGGGUUAUCAAGUCACACCUGUGUGAAAUAUCUGAAGAGACUUGGGUUUCCUGUAAUUCAGAUUAUUUUUUUCACCGUGCAAAUCACAAGAAACAACUGGUUAAAUGAGAUCUCUUACUAUUGAUGGUGGCUGGCUCGGGGUGACACCAUGUGUCAUUAGGAGUAGCUAAUGUAUAACCAAAGGAACACUGUUCAGCAUAUGCCUGUCCUGUCCUACUGUCCUUCCCUGUUGUGUAUUCUCAGUCACAGCAAAGUAAUUACUGAGCACUGGCUCCUCUGGCUAUGCCACUGCACUCCACUCAGGGCAACAUAGCUCAGGAGGUAUAAGGGUUUGUCUGGCAGUCGGAGGGUUGCCGGUUCGAUCCCACACCCUGGGCGUGUCGAAGUGUCCCUGAGCAAGACACCUAACCCCUAAUUGCUCCCAACGAGCUGAUUGAUACCUUGCGCGACAGCCUUUCACCGUUGUGUGUGUGUGUGAAUGGGUGAAUGAGGCAUCAAUUGUAAAGCGCUUUGGAUAAAAGUGCUAUAUAAAUGCAGUCCAUUUACUGGCCCAGACUACUAUACUGUGGGCAUCACGUAACCCUAAACCCGACCUAACCCUAAGCCCAACAUUCUGCAUGUUUUGUGAUCACUUCACCUUGUUGAGAUUUUAUCUGUAUAUUAAAUUUGUUUAAACUAUUUGUUAUACUCAAUUGUUCUGAUUGCACACAAGCUAAGAAUCAUGUUUUUGCUCACUGCAACCAAACUCAAUGACUGAGGAAAACAUUUCACUUCACUGAUAACCGUACACAUGUAGUUCUGGAGGUAGUGUUGCAGGUCUCCUUUUUCCUCCGUUCAGCAUAAUGAGUUGUCUGCAGGGUCAAGGCUGCACAGGAUUGCCUCCCCCUCUCAGGGUAAUAUUUGACUUCAUGUGGGAGGAGGCUAUGAGAAGAGCCUGGGAGCUGCUCCAUGUUCAGAUCAGGUGCCGAUCUGACCCCUCAGAGGAAGGACGACCCUGAGCUGUGCAGGCCGUCGGGCCAUAUUGCCAUGGAUUCUUCUGCUGGAACAUGGUGCUUCACUUCAGUGCGUCAGCUCUGAAUAGACGAUGGGACGCCGCUAUUUUCAAUGAGCGAGACUGGAGGCCGAUUGUAGCACUUCCUAAUCAGCCUCAUGCAAUGGAUACUGGGAAUGCACAACAUUGCACAGGUGCCAAGUCUCCAAUUUGUGAUACGAAAGAGACUUCUUGUUGUAACUGUUGCAGAAGUAGUUUAUAGCAUCAGGGUUAGAAAGAAAGUCAUUCACAAAUCAUCGUAGACAUUUUGAUGUAUGAAAUUAUUCCUCAUUCUCAAAAUAACGGACUAUAAUGUAUAGCAUGGACAAUAGAUUCCCACUUUCCAUACGGUGAACCAGUUUCUGGAUUUUUAGGGAGCUUCCUCUUCAAACUUUGCAGCACAGUCCUUCAAGGCUGUAGGUUUAUGACGUCAUUAUUUGUGCUCAGAAGCUCAAUCUUUACUUCUGCAGGCAUGUUAUGAGAGAAAUCCUGGCCUCCUGGCUUCUGCCCUCAGCUGUCAGUAACUGGAAUCUGUCACUGCAAAGAAUCAAAGAGCAGGGCUGAUCCUGUUGCUGCCCCCUGGUGGCAGGGAAGACUGCACACCAGAUCAGGUUGCACUGUCUCAGAGUACAGAUAUGAUGGGUUGCUGAUCUCUCUGAAUACAUAGGUGAAUUCAUGGCUUUUUGAUUACCCUUUUGAAUUUUAAUGGUUGCUGUGUUCCAUAACAAAAUAUGAGCUGGAUGCACAGAACAGCAUGAACAGUACAACAGGACCAAGUAGCUGAUAGAAGUGUUUUGUAAGUUGCCCAGGUCUUUUACCUUAUCACUUAUCUUGCUUCUAUUAGAAGGGUCUGUAUGUUUUGUUUCCUGUUCAUUGGUGUUUUUAAUGCAAUCACAGAAUUCUGGAAUAGGGAGGAAUAUUUGAACCACUGACAACAGUACCUGCAGGGGGGAAAGAAGGGGAUCAGAAAUAUGCAUGACAGAUAGGAAACUGUCCAGGUGUAAUUAUAUGAAAGCCUGCCACAAUCAGAUCUACAUUUUUUUUCAGACAUUCAGCAGGUAAUUCUGACACCCUGCAAAACGUGGUGUUCCAAAAACAGAUGCUAUUCAAAUGAUCCUGCCACUUUUCAAUUCCCAGGGUUGGGCAAUAAACUGUUGCACAAUCA
Anguilla rostrata (American eel) is the source of this 6162-nucleotide long non-coding RNA. RefSeq lists it as uncharacterized. The transcript is spliced from 2 exons. The record is from RefSeq and is a predicted model, not a curated record. NCBI's taxonomy places the organism in Eukaryota, Metazoa, Chordata, Actinopteri, Anguilliformes, Anguillidae.